AAUGGCAGGGACCCACACAUGUGAAACGGAGCUCAUUAAUAACCGAUCAACAGCAUAUAUGACGCAAUGUACAUAAUAUAUAAUUUUAUUAUUUAUAUAUGUAUGGAAAGUAAAUAAUACAUGGAAGAAAUGAAAGGUCUUUUUUACGUUUAGUCAUCCCUGCUGGGGACCCACAGAAAAUGUUCGAAUUGGGCCCUGCACUUCCUAAAGCCGGCCCUGCCAACCUGGACCAUACCAUGUCCCUGAAGGACACCAGAAUCUGGAGAUUAAACCUGAGUUUUAUUCGUCAGUGGAUUUACAUGCUACGAGUUGCCGCAGUUUUGACAUUUCACUAGUAGAGUCAUAGAAAAAUCUAUAUUAAGGUUUGUUUGUUUGUUUGUACUAACCAGGUUAAAAUUUGGCCUAUCUACAUAAUGUAACAUGGUUUUCUUCAUUUGGAUUAACUCCCAUACCAUACAUAUAGCACAUCAGGCACAAUAUGUUUCUUUUAAAUUGUAUGGACCGAAGCAUUGUGAUAUAUUUGUACCUGUUUGAACUGCUGUCAAAUACUUUCAAGUCUGCUUAUAUGGCUUUUUCCUGCUGGUACUUAGCUGAAUAGAGAUGGUUUGGAUAAAACACUAAUAUAUGCAUGCCUUCACCCAAAAUUUGAAAUGAAUCUUUUGUAAGGUUUAAACAAGUUUUAAAAUGAGAAGGGAGGGGAGGAGAAUGGUUUCACUUGUUCCCUUCCUCUGCACUUUCUGGUUCUAACUCACUGUGAAAGUAUCUAUAUGCUGAAAGGUUUCAGAGGGAUAGCCGUGUUAGUCUGUAUCAGCAAAAACAACUAGUAGUACUUGUGGCACCUUAGAGACUAACAAAUUUAUUUGGGCAUAAACUUUCGUGGGCUAAAACCCACUUCAUCAGAUGCAUGGAGUGGAAAAUACAAUAGGAAGAUAUAUAAACACACAGUACAUGAAAAGAUGGGAGUUGCCUUACCAAUGGGGAGUCAGUUCUAACGAGACAAUUCAAUUAAAGUGGGCAUCAUAGGACUUAACCACAUCAGCCACACCAUUAGGGGCUUGUUUACCUGCACAUCUA
This 1074-nucleotide long non-coding RNA is filed under the name Chrysemys picta bellii (western painted turtle). Its description in RNAcentral is "lncRNA (ENSCPBG00000025342.1)". Lineage: Eukaryota; Metazoa; Chordata; Testudines; Emydidae. The record is from RNAcentral.